GGUCCCAUCGUCUAGUGGCCUAGGACACCGGCCUCUCACGUCGGUAACACGGGUUCGAGUCCCGUUGGGACCGCCA
Molecule: transfer RNA, 76 nt
Filed under: Nitrospirota bacterium
Lineage: Bacteria; Pseudomonadati; Nitrospirota
Also listed under: 1 other name
Description: Nitrospirae bacterium tRNA-Glu
Rfam family: tRNA
About the family: Transfer RNA (tRNA) molecules are approximately 80 nucleotides in length. Their secondary structure includes four short double-helical elements and three loops (D, anti-codon, and T loops).
Source: RNAcentral